This is an RNA transcript of Cercocebus atys (sooty mangabey), 1829 nucleotides long. It is a transcript of the gene named profilin-2 pseudogene, with no coding region annotated. NCBI's taxonomy places the organism in Eukaryota, Metazoa, Chordata, Mammalia, Primates, Cercopithecidae. The record is from RefSeq and is a predicted model, not a curated record. The transcript has a single exon.
CCAUCCCUGCUUCCCUGGUAUGAAACCCAUUUGAUUGUGGUGGAUUAUCUUUUUGAUUUGAUUUUGAAUGUUUCCAUCAUAAAGAAAUGGUAAACGUUUGAUGUGAUGAGUGUGCUAAAUACCCUGAUUUGCUUGUUACACAUUGUAUUCAUGUAUCAAAAUAUCACACUGUACUAUAUUAAUAUGUACAAUUAUGUCAACUAAAAUAAAAAUAAUAGCCAUGACUUUAAAUAACUUAAGAAAUAAUAUGAUGGACCAGGGGAUGAGGAAAUAACAUGACCCAGCCCUGACCAAUCAGGGUUUCCCACACUGUACCAUAUCUCCCUAACAACAGGUAUUAGUCCAAAGGUCAUCUUCUCUGGUUCUUUAUUUAUGAACAUUGUGAGAAAGAUGUCUAUUUUUCUGCUGAAGCUGUUAAGAUAGGAUAAUAGAGAAGCUGGAGCUGAUAAGCUGAUAUUGACUAUCUUCUUUAGAAAUACAGAGCUCUGAUGACAAAUUUGAGUCUCUGAAUUAAUCAUGUCUCUAGCCAACCUCACCCCUCCCCGGCCUUUCCAGAUAAAUUUACAUGUUGAAUCUUUUCUUUAAAACUGUUAACUUGUGGCGGUCUGCGCUGCGGUGUGAAGGGCUCGAAGAUGGCCGGUUGGCAGAGCUACAUGGAUAAUCUGAUGUGCGAUGGCUGCUGUCAGGAGGCCGCCAUUGUCGGCUACUGCCAUGCCAAAACCUCCGGGCAGCCAUGGCCGGGGGCAUCUUUCAGAGCAUUAUGCCAAUAGAAAUAGAUAUGAUUGUAGGAAAAGACUGGGAAGGUUUCUUUACCAACGGUUUGACUCUUGGCGCGAAGAAAUGCUCAGUGAUCAGAGAUAGUCUAUACGUCGAUGGUGACUGCAUAAUGGACAUCCGGACAAAGAGUCAAGGUGGGGAGCCAACAUACAAUGUUGCUGUCAGCAGAGCUGGAAGAGCACUGGUUAUAGUCAUGGGAAAGGAAGGUGUCCACGGAGGCACACUUAACAAGAAAGCAUAUGAAUUUGCUUUAUACCUGAGGAGGUCUGAUGUGUAAGCAGCCUCUCCCCAUCUACCUAGCAACUGUCUUCAUCAACAACCCUAAUUGUGGUCACAGUGCUACCAAACUAUAGAUGGUAGCUAAUUUUUCUUUACCUAUUUUCUAAUGUCAUGAUUCCUGUUUGCCCAAUGGAUCAUUUAUAUGUUAACCACUAUAUGUAACCAACCCUUAUCUGGCAACAUAAUUGCAGCACAAUAAUGAUUUGCAUGAUACCUUGAAACUGGGGGGAGGGGGCAUGCCAAGUUGGGCAUCACUUUGUCUUAGCAAUUAAUGGAACAUUGAUUACUAAAAUAUGUUAAUAUUAAGCAAGGUGCCGGUUGUACAAUCUCUGAUUAAUGUAUUUUCAGCACUUUGAGCAUUUACUUGGCUCAUUUAGUCUUCCUUUUGUAGCGCAUGGUUGGGAGGAAAAAGUGCAUGCAUCUUUCCUUCACUCUUCUCUUUUUCCCGCCCCCCUCUCCCUUCGCACAUAGGCAUUUAGUUUGCUUCCAUCUUUUUUUAUGCAGUGCCUGUUUUUUUUAAACCAGUUAAUAUCCCUUUUGUUGAUGAGCUAUUGAGAGCUGCAGUAGUUUGCUUUUAGUAUUGUUGUUGUGCUUGAGUAGAGACAAACCUUUAUUCAUAGUGUCUAUAGGACAUAUGAAGAGUGCAAUGGCAAAACAAGAGCAAAAAGCACUUCCUCCCGUGACCUUACAGUAACCAUACUGAUUGAAUCCCCGGGGACAUUCCAUCAUUGCAAUAGCUCAGAUUUUUGUUCCUGUCUUUUUCUUGGCACACC